GAUGAACGCUGGCGGCGUGCCUAAUACAUGCAAGUCGAGCGAACGGACGAGAAGCUUGCUUUUCUGAUGUUAGCGGCGGACGGGUGAGUAACACGUGGAUAACCUACCUAUAAGACUUGGAUAACUUCGGGAAACCGGAGCUAAUACCGGAUAAUAUUUUGAACCGCAUGGUUCAAAAGUGAAAGACGGUCUUGCUGUCACUUAUAGAUGGAUCCGCGCUGCAUUAGCUAGUUGGUAAGGUAACGGCUUACCAAGGCAACGAUGCAUAGCCGACCUGAGAGGGUGAUCGGCCACACUGGAACUGAGACACGGUCCAGAAUCCUACGGGAGGCAGCAGUAGGGAAUCUUCCGCAAUGGGCGAAAGCCUGACGGAGCAACGCCGCGUGAGUGAUGAAGGUCUUCGGAUCGUAAAACACUGUUAAUAGGGAAGAACAUAUGUGUAAGUAACUGUGCACAUCUUGACGGUACCUAAUCAGAAAGCCACGGCUAACUACGUG
Molecule: ribosomal RNA, 497 nt
Filed under: uncultured bacterium
Lineage: Bacteria
Description: partial 16S ribosomal RNA
Rfam family: Bacterial small subunit ribosomal RNA
Source: RNAcentral